AUUGAACGCUGGCGGCAGGCCUAACACAUGCAAGUCGAGCGGAUGAGGGGUGCUUGCACUCUGAUUCAGCGGCGGACGGGUGAGUAAUGCCUAGGAAUCUGCCCGAUAGUGGGGGACAACGUUUCGAAAGGAACGCUAAUACCGCAUACGUCCUACGGGAGAAAGUGGGGGAUCUUCGGACAUCACGCUAUCGGAUGAGCCUAGGUCGGAUUAGCUAGUUGGUGAGGUAAUGGCUCACCAAGGCUACGAUCCGUAACUGGUCUGAGAGGAUGAUCAGUCACACGGGAACUGAGACACGGUCCAGACUCCUACGGGAGGCAGCAGUGGGGAAUAUUGGACAAUGGGCGAAAGCCUGAUCCAGCCAUGCCGCGUGUGUGAAGAAGGUCUUCGGAUUGUAAAGCACUUUAAGUUGGGAGGAAGGGCUGUAGGCUAAUAUCCUGCAGUUUUGGCGUUACCAACAGAAUAAGCACCGGCUAACUUCGUGCCAGCAGCCGCCGUAA
RNAcentral lists this ribosomal RNA (500 nucleotides) under uncultured bacterium. RNAcentral's name for it is "partial 16S ribosomal RNA". It matches the Rfam family "Bacterial small subunit ribosomal RNA", at positions 30 to 523 of the family's 1533-position model. The record is from RNAcentral.